This 253-nucleotide ribosomal RNA is filed under the name uncultured bacterium. RNAcentral describes it as "partial 16S ribosomal RNA". It matches the Rfam family "Bacterial small subunit ribosomal RNA", at positions 524 to 776 of the family's 1533-position model. The record is from RNAcentral.
UACGAAGGACCAGAGCGUUAUCCGGAUUUAUUGGGUUUAAAGGGUGCGUAGGCGGCCCGUUAAGUCGGCGGUGAAACCCCUGGGCUCAACCCAGGGAGUGCCGUUGAUACUGGCGGGCUUGGAUUUCCUCUGGGCGGGCGGAAUGGAAGGUGUAGCGGUGAAAUGCGUAGAUAUCUGGAGGAACACCGGUGGCGAAGGCGGCAUCCUGGACCAACACUGACGCUGAGGAGCGAAAGCCAGGGGAGCAAACGGG